CCCCCCCCCCCCCCCACUUUUUUACAGGGUUCAAUCCAACUAAACAGGCUCAUUGGAGUGCUUACAUGACCUAUUAUUCAAUUGAAGCUUGAGGCAUUGUCGAUGACCAUAUAAUUUAUAUGAAUGGAGCUAUCAACUACCAGCACUCGGAGUUUUCAGGCAUUGUUGAUGACCAUGUAAUUUAUAUGAAUGGAGGUAUCAGUUACUAGCACUUGGGGUUUUCAGGCAUUGUCCAAAAUACCCGUGUUUUAUUUAGGAAAAAGAAAAAAAAUGCAAGAAUUUUUAGGUGUUGGUCAAAAUUUAAUGGAAUUUACAAAAAUACCCAUGCCUGAAUCUUUUAAUUUUUUAUAAUUUUUUAAAAAAUAAAAAAUAAACACAUGGGUAUUUUGAGAAUUUUGACAGGGUUUAAUGAAAAAUUCUAAUUAAGGUUGAAAAUUUCAUUAAAUUGUGACCAACACCUAAAUCCUUUAAAAAAAAAAAUUUAUUUUUUUCUUUUUUUACCUAAAAGAAGCACGGGUAUUUUGGAAAUUUUGACAGGAUUUAUCAGAAAAUUUUAACUAAGAGUUGAAAUUAAAAAAA
Long non-coding RNA from Alnus glutinosa, 579 nucleotides. RefSeq lists it as uncharacterized. The transcript has 3 exons. The record is from RefSeq and is a predicted model, not a curated record. Lineage: Eukaryota; Viridiplantae; Streptophyta; Magnoliopsida; Fagales; Betulaceae.